GUUUUGGGAAAGUGGCUGCCGAACCAAUCAUAUCCCACUCUUCCUCCCCUGGAUCUCUUACCAGUUUAGUUUUUGCUUAGCCUCCAUACGCUGAUGAGGAUGUCACUCAUCCCCUGUGACCUGAUGAGAAUGUUGCUCAUCCACCAGGCCCUGGUGAGAACGUCGUUCUGUCUGCCUGCUCAGUCACUAUUUGUCCCGGCCUUGACUUUCAACUGGCAACCACAGCCUACAGGAUAAGCUCUAACAUGUGACAGAUACUGAUAUGGCCACUCAAUGACAGACACAAUCCCAGGUAACCUUUCAGCACUGAGAAGCACCUUCACUGCGCAGCAGCCCCACAGUGCCCUAAUGGAUC
Long non-coding RNA from Silurus meridionalis, 355 nucleotides. RefSeq lists it as uncharacterized. NCBI's taxonomy places the organism in Eukaryota, Metazoa, Chordata, Actinopteri, Siluriformes, Siluridae. The transcript has 3 exons. The record is from RefSeq and is a predicted model, not a curated record.